Molecule: ribosomal RNA, 479 nt
Filed under: uncultured organism
Description: partial 16S ribosomal RNA
Rfam family: Bacterial small subunit ribosomal RNA
Source: RNAcentral
CGUACACUCCUACGGGAGGCAGCAGUGGGGAAUUUUGGACAAUGGGCGAAAGCCUGAUCCAGCCAUGCCGCGUGCAGGAUGAAGGCCUUCGGGUUGUAAACUGCUUUUGUACGGAACGAAACGGCCUUUUCUAAUAAAGAGGGCUAAUGACGGUACCGUAAGAAUAAGCACCGGCUAACUACGUGCCAGCAGCCGCGGUAAUACGUAGGGUGCAAGCGUUAAUCGGAAUUACUGGGCGUAAAGCGUGCGCAGGCGGUUAUGUAAGACAGUUGUGAAAUCCCCGGGCUCAACCUGGGAACUGCAUCUGUGACUGCAUAGCUAGAGUACGGUAGAGGGGGAUGGAAUUCCGCGUGUAGCAGUGAAAUGCGUAGAUAUGCGGAGGAACACCGAUGGCGAAGGCAAUCCCCUGGACCUGUACUGACGCUCAUGCACGAAAGCGUGGGGAGCAAACAGGAUUAGAAACCCCAGUAGUCCCAUGA